This 216-nucleotide ribosomal RNA is filed under the name Glomeromycotina sp. RNAcentral describes it as "partial small subunit ribosomal RNA". The stretch from base 75 to 216 matches the Rfam family "Eukaryotic small subunit ribosomal RNA", at positions 721 to 864 of the family's 1831-position model. The record is from RNAcentral. Lineage: Eukaryota; Fungi; Glomeromycota.
GGGUCAGUAGGUUGGUCGUGCCACCGGUACGUACUGGUCUCACUGGUUCCUCCUUCCCGAAGAACCGUAAUGCCAUUAAUUUGGUGUUGCGGGGAAACAGGACUGUUACUUUGAAAAAAUUAGAGUGUUUAAAGCAAGCUAACGCUUGAAUACAUUAGCAUGGAAUAAUGAAAUAGGACGAUCGAUCCUAUUUUGUUGGUUUCUAGGAUUGACGUA